This is a long non-coding RNA of Suricata suricatta (meerkat), 575 nucleotides long. RefSeq lists it as uncharacterized. The transcript has 3 exons. The record is from RefSeq and is a predicted model, not a curated record. NCBI's taxonomy places the organism in Eukaryota, Metazoa, Chordata, Mammalia, Carnivora, Herpestidae.
UUUAAUUCUCAGGCUCAGCCAAAACAGCUUUAAGAGGGUAGAAAGAAAACAUCUCAUCACCUACACCCACCCAGCGAGAGUGCCCACACGCCUGUGCCCCUCCCAGCAUUCCAAGCGAGAGCCCGAGGAUUCACUCUAAUUGGACGGCGUGGGUCACAUGACCACCGACGCUUGGGACCAAAGGUAAGGGCUAUUAUGGCAGGAAGGAGGAAGGAGAAGCCCUUGGAGUCCCCCCACGGCCACCCAACAAACAGCACAUCUGAAGGAAGACCAAAGCCCAAAGGGAACACAACCAUUACUAUCGCUCCCUCUGCUAUCUGGGUGCCUGGAAUACAGAUGUGAUGGCUGGUGCGGUCGCUGCAAGUUUGGAUUAUGAGGAUGAGAUGGAGGAAUAGUGACCUGGAUUGAAACCUGAGUCCUCAAGAACUAGUGAUACCAAGCUACUAUGUUGGCCAUGAAUGGUCCACCCCCACACUUCUACAAAAGGGAAAAAUAAACUUCCAUUGUGCUUGGAGUCCAUAUUAUCAGUAGCUAUUAAUUGGAGUCUGGACCAUUAGUAACUGAAAUGAAUCAUA